GAUGAACGCUAGCGGCAGGCUUAAUACAUGCAAGUCGUGGGGCAGCAUGAGUGUAGCAAUACAUUUGAUGGCGACCGGCAAACGGGUGCGGAACACGUACACAACCUUCCUUCAAGUGGGGAAUAGCCCAGGGAAACUUGGAUUAAUACCCCGUAAUAUUAUGGAGUGGCAUCACUUUAUAAUUAUAGCUCCGGCGCUUGAUGAUGGGUGUGCGCCUGAUAGGUAGUUGGCGGGGUAACGGCCCACCAAGCCUUCGAUCAGUAACUGGUGUGAGAGCACGACCAGUCACACGGGCACUGAGACACGGGCCCGACUCCUACGGAGGCAGCAGUAAGGAAUAUUGGUCAAUGGACGCAAGUCUGAACCAGCCAUGCCGCGUGGAGGAUGAAGGUCCUCUGGA
RNAcentral lists this ribosomal RNA (400 nucleotides) under uncultured bacterium. RNAcentral's name for it is "bacterial SSU rRNA". It matches the Rfam family "Bacterial small subunit ribosomal RNA", at positions 28 to 422 of the family's 1533-position model. The record is from RNAcentral.